Molecule: long non-coding RNA, 763 nt
Organism: Podarcis raffonei (Aeolian wall lizard)
Lineage: Eukaryota; Metazoa; Chordata; Lepidosauria; Squamata; Lacertidae
Exons: 2
Source: RefSeq, a predicted model, not a curated record
ACAGUGGUGCCCCGCAAGACGAAUGCCUCGCAAGACGAAAGGGUUUUCCGUUUUUUGAGUCGUUCCGCAAGACGAAUUUCCCUAUGGGCUUGCUUCGCAAGACGAAACGUCUUGCGAGUUUGUUUCCUUUUUCUUAAAGCCGCUAAGCCGUUAAUAGCCGCUAAUAGCCGUGCUUCGCAAGACGAAAAAACCGCAAGACGAAGAGACUCGCGGAACGGAUUAAUUUCGUUUUGCGAGGCACCACUGUACCACUGUAAUCGUCAAAUUUUAAGAUUCUAGCCAAUAUAUCUUCCUGUGCACAAGACUGCCCUGGUAUCCCCCUCUCUUUCAGCUCUGACAGUCUUUUAGCUUCAUCACCAACAAGAUAUGGAGGUAGUGAACAGCUGAGCAAAACAGUACAGCGGUACCUUGGUUCUCAAACGCCUUGGUACUCAAGCAACUUGGAACCCAAACACUGCAAAUCCGGAAGUAAGUGUUCUGGUUUGUGACCUUUUUUUGGAAGCAGAACAUGCUCCGUUUUGAGUGUUAUGCUUCCAAUUUGAGUGCCACACUCUCAUUUUGAGUGUUACACUGAGGUCUGUCUGUUUUUGCUAUUUAUUUUGCAUUUUUCUUUUUGCGGCUCUUUUUGUUCGUUUUUGUGACUGUGUGGAACCCAGUUCAGCUACUGAUUGAUUGAUUGAUUGAUUGUGUGACUGCAGCACAUUGUUUACUGCUUUCAAUUUAUGGAUCAGUGGUCUCCUUAGAUAGUAAAAUUCAUGUUAAA